AGCUUGCUCCCUGAUGUUAGCGGCGGACGGGUGAGUAACACGUGGGUAACCUGCCUGUAAGACUGGGAUAACUCCGGGAAACCGGGGCUAAUACCGGAUGCUUGUUUGAACCGCAUGGUUCAAACAUAAAAGGUGGCUUCGGCUACCACUUACAGAUGGACCCGCGGCGCAUUAGCUAGUUGGUGAGGUAACGGCUCACCAAGGCGACGAUGCGUAGCCGACCUGAGAGGGUGAUCGGCCACACUGGGACUGAGACACGGCCCAGACUCCUACGGGAGGCAGCAGUAGGGAAUCUUCCGCAAUGGACGAAAGUCUGACGGAGCAACGCCGCGUGAGUGAUGAAGGUUUUCGGAUCGUAAAGCUCUGUUGUUAGGGAAGAACAAGUGCCGUUCAAAUAGGGCGGCACCUUGACGGUACCUAACCAGAAAGCCACGGCUAACUACGUGCCAGCAGCCGCGGUAAUACGUAGGUGGCAAGCGUUGUCCGGAAUUAUUGGGCGUAAAGGGCUCGCAGGCGGUUUCUUAAGUCUGAUGUGAAAGCCCCCGGCUCAACCGGGGAGGGUCAUUGGAAACUGGGGAACUUGAGUGCAGAAGAGGAGAGUGGAAUUCCACGUGUAGCGGUGAAAUGCGUAGAGAUGUGGAGGAAC
RNAcentral lists this ribosomal RNA (646 nucleotides) under Bacillus amyloliquefaciens. Its description in RNAcentral is "bacterial SSU rRNA". It matches the Rfam family "Bacterial small subunit ribosomal RNA", at positions 77 to 707 of the family's 1533-position model. The record is from RNAcentral. Lineage: Bacteria; Bacillati; Bacillota; Bacilli; Caryophanales; Bacillaceae.